RNAcentral lists this unclassified non-coding RNA (336 nucleotides) under Hevea brasiliensis (rubber tree). The record is from RNAcentral. Lineage: Eukaryota; Viridiplantae; Streptophyta; Magnoliopsida; Malpighiales; Euphorbiaceae.
UACAAACCCUAAACGAAAUCUCUCUCUCUCUCUCUCGUUUUCUCCAUCCGAUUAUCUGAUCCUCGAGAAGGAAUCUGUUUAGAUCUGUUUCAACUGAUGAAUGCAAUUUGAUAGUAGUUGAAUUUGAUGGAUGAUGAUUGUACAGAUGGAUAAAAUGUCUGCUCCUUCCUCAAGGGAGCGUGCGCAACGUCUUUACGAAAAGAAUAUUGAGCUGGAGAAUAAGCGUCGGAGGUCAGCUCAGGCAAGAAUUCCUUCAGAUCCCAAUGCCUGGCAACAGAUGCGGGAGAACUAUGAAGCUAUAGUUCUCGAGGAUCAUGGUUUUUCUGAGCAGCACAA